AUACACACAGACAUACUGACAUACACACAGACAGACGUACUGGCACAUACACACAGACAUACAUUAAAACAUUCACAGAUACAUACUGACACACAUACACUGACACACAAAUAUAUCCUGGCAGACAUACUGACACACACGUACACACACACACAGAGACAUACCUACAUACACACACACACACACACACACAGACAUACUGACACACACACACACAGACAUACUGACACACACACACAGAGACAUACUGACACACACACACACACACACACACACACAGACGUACUGACAUACAUUUAGCCACCCUCCAGGUUCUUACCUUUUCCUGGAGGGUGGUUUCCCUGGUCCAGUGGCAGGCUGAGGCAGAUGGGAGUUCUCCUCUGGAACUCCCCUCCUCCCUGCCUUCCUCCUCCCGCGCGGCUAUCUCCGGUGGGAGGAAGUGACGUCAC
This is a non-coding RNA of Pelobates cultripes (western spadefoot toad), 449 nucleotides long. The record is from the annotation of a GenBank genome assembly. Lineage: Eukaryota; Metazoa; Chordata; Amphibia; Anura; Pelobatidae.